Long non-coding RNA from Sander lucioperca (pikeperch), 725 nucleotides. RefSeq lists it as uncharacterized. Lineage: Eukaryota; Metazoa; Chordata; Actinopteri; Perciformes; Percidae. The transcript has 3 exons. The record is from RefSeq and is a predicted model, not a curated record.
ACUAGUGUAUGUGGUCGUGACUGUUGUAAUCAUUGUCGUCAUCUCUGGGCUGGCGCUGACCAUCGUCUGUAUUCGGAGGAAGUGCAAACCUGAUGGUUUGAACACCGGAGGAAACUCAGACAGCAUAAACAUGGAGGUCGUCCCAGACUAUGAGAACUUUUCUCCAGAUUCCACCUUCGAGGACUCCACGUACCAGAGCCUCGAUCCAGCCAGCAGGCAUCAGGACCAGAUCUACUCUACUCUCUCACAAAUACAACAUAGAUGAGCUGGAAUCUGUUAAUGUGCCUCAGGGGUCCAGGUUGUACUCAGUGUUUCUGUAUUUUCAGUGCAGUUCUUAAUGCCAUGUGUAUGUUGUUAAAUUAGAGAAUGUGAUUCUCAUUUUUCUGGAGUGGUACUUCUUCACAGUGGGUUUUAUUUGCAUGUUUUCUUGGGUUGCAUUUAGUUGAUCUCUCUGGGCCACCGUACAUUUGUAGUCAGUAGAGUUUCUUUUUACAUGUUCCAUUGUGACACAUUAUCUAUAAUAUUAUCUUCUAUAAUAAGAGUUAUUUUUAUUAUUUAUAUAUCAGCUCUUAAGCAAACUUGACGUUAGUUUGAGAGCCUCUGUGUCGUCUGGUUUUUCACACAGUGCUGCUGUCGGUCUGAACACGGACUUUAACUUCUAAAAGUUCACGUCAUUAUCAAACAGUAUUUCAGUCCGGUGGCAGGUCACAUCUGAAUCAGAAUCA